GUGGGGAAUAUUGCGCAAUGGGCGAAAGCCUGACGCAGCGACGCCGCGUGAGGGACGAAGGCCUUCGGGUUGUAAACCUCUUUCAGCAGGGACGAAGCGAAAGUGACGGUACCUGCAGAAGAAGCACCGGCCAACUACGUGCCAGCAGCCGCGGUAAUACGUAGGGUGCAAGCGUUGUCCGGAAUUAUUGGGCGUAAAGAGCUCGUAGGCGGUCUGUCGCGUCGGCUGUGAAAACCUGAGGCUCAACCUCAGGCCUGCAGUCGAUACGGGCAGACUAGAGUCCGGCAGGGGAGACUGGAAUUCCUGGUGUAGCGGUGAAAUGCGCAGAUAUCAGGAGGAACACCGGUGGCGAAGGCGGGUCUCUGGGCCGGAACUGACGCUGAGGAGCGAAAGCGUGGGGAGCGAACAGG
RNAcentral lists this ribosomal RNA (410 nucleotides) under uncultured Jatrophihabitans sp. Its description in RNAcentral is "bacterial SSU rRNA". It matches the Rfam family "Bacterial small subunit ribosomal RNA", at positions 354 to 776 of the family's 1533-position model. Lineage: Bacteria; Bacillati; Actinomycetota; Actinomycetes; Jatrophihabitantales; Jatrophihabitantaceae. The record is from RNAcentral.